AAAAUUUUAAUAGUCGAACAGACUAAAUUUUAUUAUUAUCUACAAUAAUAAUUUAUUUUAAUUCAACAUCGAGGUCGCAAAAAUUUUUAUCAAUAUGAACUCUUUAAAAAUUUAACG
RNAcentral lists this ribosomal RNA (117 nucleotides) under Philotrypesis sp. 2 CH-2014. Its description in RNAcentral is "partial 16S ribosomal RNA". The record is from RNAcentral. Lineage: Eukaryota; Metazoa; Arthropoda; Insecta; Hymenoptera; Pteromalidae.